This 73-nucleotide transfer RNA is filed under the name Felis catus (domestic cat). It matches the Rfam family "tRNA". From Rfam's summary of the family: Transfer RNA (tRNA) molecules are approximately 80 nucleotides in length. Their secondary structure includes four short double-helical elements and three loops (D, anti-codon, and T loops). Lineage: Eukaryota; Metazoa; Chordata; Mammalia; Carnivora; Felidae. RNAcentral also lists the same sequence under 2 other names. The record is from Rfam by way of RNAcentral.
ACCUGGUUGACUCAGUUGGUAGAGCAUGUGACUCUUGAUCUCAGGGUUGUGAGUUCAAGCCCCAUGUUGGGUA